This 117-nucleotide small RNA is filed under the name Marmota monax (woodchuck). The record is from RNAcentral. Lineage: Eukaryota; Metazoa; Chordata; Mammalia; Rodentia; Sciuridae.
GCCAGGCACAGUGGUGCGUGCCUGUAGUCUCAGCGCCUCAGGAGGCUAAGUCAGGAAGAUUGCUUGAGCCCAGGAAUUCAAGACCAGCCUGAACAAUAUAGCAAGACCUUGUCUCAG